AACUAACGCUGGCGGCGCGUCUUAAACAUGCAAGUCGAACGAUAACCAUUGAGCUUGCUUAGUGGUGAAAGUGGCGAACGGGUGAGUAACACGUGAAUAAUCUGCCUCUGGGAUGGGGAUAACGUUUCGAAAGGAACGCUAAUACCGAAUAAGAUGGUAGCUACACAAGUAGCAGUCAUUAAAGGUGGGGACCGCAAGGCCUACCGCCUGGAGAUGAGUUCGCGGCUGAUUAGCUAGUUGGCGGGGUAACGGCCCACCAAGGCGACGAUCAGUAGCCGGCCUGAGAGGGUGAACGGCCACAUUGGGACUGAGAUACGGCCCAGACUCCUACGGGAGGCAGCAGUUAAGAAUCUUGCACAAUGGGGGAAACCCUGAUGCAGCGACGCCGCGUGGAUGAUGAAGGCUUUCGGGUUGUAAAGUCCAUUAGACAGGGAAGAAUAAGCGCCGGGUAAUAUUCGGCGUGAUGACGGUACCUGUUGAAAGCCCCGGCUAACUACGUGCCAGCAGCCGCGGUAAU
RNAcentral lists this ribosomal RNA (517 nucleotides) under uncultured bacterium. Its description in RNAcentral is "bacterial SSU rRNA". It matches the Rfam family "Bacterial small subunit ribosomal RNA", at positions 29 to 524 of the family's 1533-position model. The record is from RNAcentral.